This is a microRNA precursor of Gallus gallus (chicken), 60 nucleotides long. Lineage: Eukaryota; Metazoa; Chordata; Aves; Galliformes; Phasianidae. The record is from Ensembl.
CCGGGCGGGAGGGGAGCGGCCUGCUUGCUGGCGGGGCCGGCCCAUUGUUGCCGCCUUCAA